UGUUGUGUCGGUUAAUCAAACAAAAAAUUGAUGGCGGAAGGGGAGAUAUCAGUAGGUCAAGAGCAGAUGCUGCUCCACCAGCAGAAGAACAAAGUGAUGGUUGCUAUAGACGAUAGCGAAAACAGCCUCCACGCUCUGCGCUGGACUCUCCACAAUUUUAUCCUGCGCAACCGUAACGAUCCGUCGCCGUCCGCCAUUGAUUACGGCGUCUUAAUCUUCACUGUACAGCCGCUUCUCGAUUAUACCUUUGUCCAUGCCGCCUCUUUCGGCUCUACGCCACCGGAAUUAAUGAAUUCCCUUCGGGAAAAUCAGAAAAAGAUGGCUGAUGCUCUGCUGGAAAAGGCCACCAAGCUCUGCACUCAAUAUGGGAUUACUCCAGAGACCGCCACAGAAGUGGGCGAUCCCAAAGAGGCAAUAUGUGAAGCAGUGGAGAGGCUUAAUGUCCAUUUGCUUGUCUUGGGAACUCAUAGUCGUGGGGCUCUCCAAAGAGCUUUAGAUGUGAAGAUAAUAUCGUGGACCAUCUUUACGAUCGGCUGAAUCAAAAAGGAAUUCAUAUCCUUAAAGAUGACGAGCGAUUAUAUUGGAGAAAAGGCAACAUAUGACUUUGGCUCUACUACAAGGCUAUUCAAGAAUCAAGAUUUGCAAGUGUUGUCUUCUCCAAAGACUAUGCAUCAUCAACAUAGUGUUUAGGCCAAGUUGUACAACAGGAAAAUCAUGUUCUUAUUUGACAUGUGAAGGCUCAAUAUCAUGAAUUUGUACACCCAUGCCAGCAUCAGUAUCAGCAAGCUACCGAUCGAGCAAUUGAAGACGAGACUUAUAUUCGUUCACGCUAUCCAAAUAUUCGGUUUAGUAUGGCUGCCAACCGGACCCCUGCUUGGGCUAGCCGCAAUUUCACCACUGGUAACCGUGUUAAGAAGUAAGGAUCUGCAAUGGUUAAUUUUUUCCCCCCAUGUUAUAUAUGUUUCUUGAUAUAUAGAUAUAUAUAGUUGAGUGAUAUGAUGGCAUCAAGAAAAUGCAGAUCUGAUCUGUUACCUUCUAACACUGAGUUUUCACUAACUCCUUUGUAUGCCCAAUCACAGGCUGCUUUAAUACCUUCAGAUGCAUAUCUGUGCAGAAUUGAAGACACUUGUAUCAUAUAGUGGAGAUGAGAAAACACCAUAAAAUGAAGUAAUUUUAAAUCUGUUUUCUUCAUAUAAACAUACACAUCUGGGCAGGCUUCUUUGUCAUUGGUGCAGGCCUCCCAUGAUUUCACUUCAUCUGCCCAUCCAGUCUGUUAAGUGGACAAAAUAUUUAAAAAUUUUGAGUAACCAGAAAAACCCGCAGCCACUACUCUAGGGUGAGCACCAGGUAAAUCAGGCCUUGCGACCCUAACCAGCAAAAUACCACAAGGAGGUAAACUAGCCCAAACUGUCCAUAGCUGAUUGGGUCAAAUCAAGAAGACUAAUAGGCCGCGAACUUGUAACAUUGUUGUUACUAAGUGAACAGUCUGACAGAAAAUGAAGGUAAAGCAGAAAUUAUAGUAACAUAUAGUUUUAGUUGUUGCAGAUGGUUUACAGUAAUGUUCUUCUGAAUUGCAUCGAUCAGUUCUUCCACUUCAGAUUCAUAAAAUUGCUCUUCUGCCGUCUCGAUUAUGCUGGUAUCCCAUACCUGUGGGGUUUAAAUUAACAUGAGAAAGCUAAGCUAAGCAGACUGGGAAUCAUAAUGUGAGGUUGCAGUGAAGCUUGGCUUACAUGGUGGAGAACUGUUUUCUUAGUGUACCACUUGACAUCAAUUGUGUUGCCUCCCUUGUCUGAGGCAAAUCCAACAUGCAGAGGCUGCAACAUUCCAAAACAGCAAAAGUAAUAAGCAAAUCCCAAUCUGUUUUUGGCUCAACUUCAAUUCCUCAAACAUAUGAAUUGAAAUUUGGAUUAGUUUACCUGAUGAAUGUCUCCAACAAAAUGAGAGAGGAAGAGCAGUGCUUGUGUCGAAUUAUCUGAUGAUCAUUCCAAAUUGGUUAAACAACGGUAAUUUAUUACUAGAAUGAAAACUAGUUGGUUCUGGGUGGUAAAUUAUGGGCAAAGAUACAGAAUACAGCCCUGACAGCCGAUGUACAUAUCUCUCCACUAUUCUGUGGGGUAUUGAUCCUUUCACCUAAUGAGAGGCUGAAUUGUCCUGAUUUAACACUCCACUAUCCUGUAUAGUGGGUUUCUUGUGGGUGUCUUCCCACCUAAUUGGAGGCUGAAUUACUGUGGUUUAUCCCUCAUCUACUAUCUUAUGUUGUGAGCUCUUUGUGGAGUCCAGAUCAAAGGACUACGUCACCAGGAUUUAUCUUUCUACAAUUGUGUCGGGCUCGGGCAGGGGUCUGGGCCAGGAAUUUGCAAGAAAACUAGUUUUUUAAAGAAUAGCAUCCAUAUAACUCACAUGAUGAAUCAUUGCCACUAACAUAGCUGACAAGCUGGGUGGUGUAAUUGUUGAUAGCCCCUGCAACGCAUCUCCCCACUUCUCCAUCUUCAUCCUUGCAAUCCCCUGCGUCCACAUUGAAAAAACAUCAAACGUAACACAUCAGGCGUGUUGAUGAAGUGGAGCGGAGCCGACCAAGGAAACCGGAAUCUAACGUUGUCCGCCCAAGAACACAUACUCGACAGGUUCCCCUUCGCGUACGCCGGCAGCAGCUUGUCAACUGCAUCUGCCGCCGCCGCACUCAGCCGCAACUGGGCAAUCCGGCACGCGAUCAGAUGCCCGUCUACUCCCCAUCCAUGGGCCACCGGGAACAGAAACAACAAAGCCACCGCGACAACCAUGUAAUUAGCUUUAGACCCUUUCUCCAUUCUUGCCUUCUUUAUUUUAUUUUAUUUUUUGCUGUAAAAAUAUCAAGAUUUGUUAGUGCUUGUCUGUAAGGCUGGGAAAUUUAAAGUACUGGUCAAACCGGUGUUGAUCUUUUUAUUAGGAUAAAAAUAUUAGGUUUCUAUGUUUACAUUUGGUUUCA
Molecule: RNA transcript, 2965 nt
Organism: Ipomoea triloba (trilobed morning glory)
Lineage: Eukaryota; Viridiplantae; Streptophyta; Magnoliopsida; Solanales; Convolvulaceae
Gene name: universal stress protein A-like protein
Exons: 7
Source: RefSeq, a predicted model, not a curated record